Molecule: unclassified non-coding RNA, 462 nt
Filed under: Hevea brasiliensis (rubber tree)
Lineage: Eukaryota; Viridiplantae; Streptophyta; Magnoliopsida; Malpighiales; Euphorbiaceae
Source: RNAcentral
AUCUGAAAGGUGCUUCUCAGCUUCCUGGACGUGGAGACACAAUAAUUCUGCAAGUCUCUUCAAAGUAAUCCUUGAGUAGUACUUUGAAACGACAAGGAUAUUGUGUUCAAUUAUUCUUUGCUUCAGAUCUUCUGCUGCUUUUUCACCCAAAAAGCCUCCAAGCAAGUUCUUCUCAGUGUCAAACUCAUCCUUGUAUGUAUUCCAAAGAGAUGUCCAUUGGAUGACCUCCAUUGUGACCAAUUGUUUCAAAAGCACCUUAAAUUUUGGAAUUUCAGAAAGAUUCUUAUCAUCCAACGCAGAAUUCAAAAGGCUUGACUGCAUUGGAUCAUGCGGUGAAAGUACCAAGUACCAACAGAUUUUCCUCAAGACCGGAAUCCACUGAGCUGGGUUUUCCCUUACAGAAGGGAUUUCAUAUAUGGCCUUAUAGCAACGACAAAUUUCAAGGUAAUCAUUGUUAUGGGA